RNAcentral lists this long non-coding RNA (4146 nucleotides) under Bemisia tabaci. RNAcentral's name for it is "lncRNA ENSSSA1NGG006840". The record is from RNAcentral. Lineage: Eukaryota; Metazoa; Arthropoda; Insecta; Hemiptera; Aleyrodidae.
AUACUACCAUUUCAACGUGGAGUAGCACCUCUUGCCUAUCUUAUCAAAAGAAGGCGAAUCUACUCGCUCCAAGUCGAGGCGCAAAGUCACUACACAAUUAUUUAUGCUCAGUAUUGCUUGUCUUUUUAUCGCUGAACACAUUACUAUUGUCUGACAUACUCAAAGAGGGUGCGUAACAGUAAUGGCACCUGACUCAAUAGUUUAGUUAUGAGUCAUGGAAUUAAAAUCAUUAUGUGUUUUGCGUUUACUGUUUUCCAAAACUCCCCCGCUAUUCCAUUUUAUCAGAGAAAACGCAACAGUACUUCAUUGUUUCGAAUAUCCUUAGUUCCCUACUUUCCUCUAUGAAGAGAGGAAAAAUCCCAGAGAAUCUUGAAAAAAAAUAAAACAGAAAAUUUUCUACGUCACAAUAAUUCAGAGGAUAGAAACUACGAAGUCUACGAUCCAUUCAGCACAGAUCUGCUGUGGCGAGUAAGAGCAGGCGACCGAGGUGACAGCCAAUACGCGAAAAAUCUGGCGACUCACAUUUUCACGAAUGAAGUUCUGGCACAAUCGUCUAUCACAGGACAGCCAUAUCGUAACAAGAAAGGAGCCGUUGCUAAACCUGCAUUGGAUGGACAUAAACUGGAAUACUUGAGACAAAUUUUCAUCCUCCGCCUUAAAGAAGAGUUCAAGGGGAAAAAUGACGUCAAGGUCCAGGCAGCCAUAGAGAAACGUGCAAAUCGGAAAGUAUUGGAGAACUACAUUCGGGAGAAGAUCUGCACCCUUGGUCGUUAUUUUCAUACUGCUUAGGUCUGCCCCCCCCCCCUCCCAAUCAGAAGAUUCUAGUCUUCUUCUCCCACUAGAUUUUUGUUUGUUUGUACCAAUUAAGCUUCUGUAGAUACCUCCACAGUUAUGCUCAUCGUUUUAUUACGCCUCGGAACGCAUGGGCUAACACAUUUUUGUCUAGAAGAGGUAAUAAGAAAAAUAGGAGGAAAAAAUUUUGACAAGUCAAACUUUUUGAAACGAUAUGAGAUUUUUAAUUUUCAUAGAUAAGCUAAUGCUUAAGCUCACCAUGCGCUAUUUUGCACGGGCAAUGAUAGUGGUGUUUUAAUCAAAAUAGUACCCAGGUGUACAAAUAGACCAACAAAGCACCAAAAUUAAGUCAAUACAAAAAUUUGAGUUUUUUUUGGCUCCUUUUUUCCUUGACGUCAUCGUAAUUUUUAUUUUUUUAUUUUAAGGUAAAAUAAAAAGAUUCUUCAAUUUUCAAAUUGACGUAUUAAUGCCAAAAGGAACUAUGUGCAUUGUGCAUAAGGUUUGCGUGAGACAUAGUUUAAACUAUAGAAGAAAACCAAGAAAAACCCUAUUCGCGGGGUAAGGUAAGCCUACAUUCGGCAAUUAGGGUGCCAUUUCUUUUUGAAAAAGAGGAUGCUUCAGAACAAAAAUCAAGUUCCUCGCUCAUUUUAUGUGCACUAUUUGCUAAAAAUUAAAUAAAAUACACAGCUUUUUCAUCUAUGGACCUCCAAAAAAUUCCAUGCCAAGUAGCACUCCUUAAUUACAUGGUACAGUGAAGAGAAAAAUUCCAGGUAAUGAUCUUGCUUCUGAUUUUCAAAAACCUUGCACCAUCUUUAACUUCAAACAUUUACAAAGGAAUUUAUCAUAGCGUACUGAGGUUACACACAAUUGUUAGUAAAAAAUGUUGAACUUUUGAAAGAUAAUGGAAUAUUUCAAGUUGGAUUGAGACUUUUUUUCACCAACUUCAAAUGAAAGCACAUAAUUUUUAGUUAAGAACUCGGGCGAUUUCGUCGCGUCUCUCUUAUUUUUUCUUUUUUACAACGCUCUCAGUGAGUGCAUUUUUUGGGAUCGUGCUUUCAUUCGGUAGUUUUGAUUGGUAACUGAUUCGCAUUAUAUUCAUCAAUUAAGAUGUUCCUAAUUGAAUGCCUAUUUUUACAUAUUUAAAGUGCCCAACGAGCGGUAGUCGAAUUCAAAAUUGACGAACAAUGAUUCGAACAUGUUUACUAAAGUGUCUAAAUUCGUAUUUUCGUGAACCAUAUUUUUUUUUUCUUUAUUCAAAAUAUAGAGAACUACAAAUUAUUAACUCUAUUUGCUAUAACUACAAAUUACAGACUAUUUACAAUCUUUAAGUGGGUAGGCUGGACUGCCAUAUCGGCCACCGGCCCUAUAACUAAAUUACAAGAUGUACAGAGACUAUACGCAAUACCAAAUAACACAGACUAACUACGAACAAACAAUACACACAACACUAACUAAUAAUAAAUAUUAGACUAAUAACAAAUAAAAAGAGAUUUGGCACCAACUCGUUUUUACAAAUUUCCUCCGAUGUUCGAGCGGAAUGCGGGUGUCGGUGCGGAAAGCGGCUGUAAAUAAGUCGUUUAUGAAGCAUAUAGUAACCCUGGUAAAAAAGACGACUACGCUGCGACUAUGCUGCGCAUACACCGCAUAGUCGUGUGCAUAUGUAUGAAGUCGCAGUGUAGUCACAUGGUUGUCAAGGGUAGUCAUCAGAAGGCACAGUGUAUUCGCAAGGUAGUUGCGAGGUGGUCACCGGUUAGUAGUCACCAUGAAUGUGUAGUUGCAGAGCAAUAGUGGGUAUCCGCAAGCAUAGGUGCAUACGUUUAUGUACCUACCUUUACCCGCUAGGCAUGUGACUACACAACUCUGGGACACUUAGUUGUGCAACUACAUAUUAACAUCACCUUUACAUUAUGCCUCAGACUAUGAUUUAAUUACAGCAUACCGACGGUGAAACUGCGACACCAGCCGGAUAGCAUCCAAUGUUCUGAGAAUAUUCUGACAAUGUUCCUACAUUUUGAGCAGCAUUUUCAUAAUCAGAGAAUAUUCUGAGAAUAUUCUGUAUCAGCAGCUAAACUCAGAAUAUUCUCAGAAUGUUCAUCAUCUUCCACUACGCGUGUGUAGGAGAAUCCUCCAGCUACAUUUGCAUCAUGCAAGGUAACAACGGAUGACAUAUGGUAUGCGAACAUGCUCAAUUAAAUAGAAAAUGAACAAAAAUCACUCACCAACUUGCUCGAAUCAGUAAUCCACUGGGUCAGGAAAAUCCACUUGACAACAAUUAAUCCAAAUUUCCAAUUAAAACUGGUAUAAGUACAGAGAAACGCUUGAAAACUCUAUGGGUGCAUUGUAAAAAAUCUUAAGCACUCUUUAACGUAAGUGAAAAUUAGCACCAUGAUUUAAUAGCUGAUCAAUACAGAACAGCACUCUCAGAAAAGCACUGACACAACACCAUUUUUCAGUUUAUUUUUACUUCUAGGAGAAAAAUGCAUUUUUCAAAAGAUCCGACAUCAUCGGCCAUCGCUCGACAGCAAUGAUGGAAUGAGGUAAAAAUAAAGCUUAAAUAAUUUCACAAUUUACUCCGAUAAUUGAUGAUAUUAAGGUAGCCAUUGAUUCUCUACCCGACGUCCUUUUCACACAUGACAAGGAAGGUCAAGAGCACAGAGCAAAUGGCGCGAUGUACAUGUGAUAUCGCAAGUUCCGGAUAGGAGUCGAUCUGCAAAAAUACAAAGCGAGAAACAGAUCAUCAUAUUGAUCCACCCACAAUUAAUGACUGUCAAUAGAGACAGACAUUAAAAUACGUUAUAAUAAAUAAGCCACCAUUUGUUAACAGAACAAAGUUUUCGUGAGAGUAAGACCUUUCCGUCUGGAGGGACGAGGACCUUCCUUGGACCUUUCCUUCCAAGAAACACUUAAUAAUGGACCACUUUACUACUUACAGGUCUGAGCUGCUGAAUGAAUUACAUUACACCAGUCAAUAAAAUUUUAAACUCUUGCCCUCACCGUCGAAUGUUGACGGAUGACCUGAUCUAUCGCUGAAUAUACAUAGGAUGGGAAGUUGGCACAUCUGAAGAGCAGAGCGGUUCAUUCUUGUUUCAGCUCUGGUAGUAUUUUAAAUGUAACAACUGUCUGUUGCCUUAAAAGGGAUGAAAUAAGUGCAACACCUGCGCACCACUGCAAAUGUGCGAUUUGUCAAAAAUCUAGGGAUGAGGUGUUUCAAGUUAUCGCUAAUAAAUUAGCCAGCCAAUUCAAGAGAAUGACAGAGGUUACGCAGUGAGGAUCCCUUUCUAUAAGUCAGUAUAUUGAACGGACAGGUGAAAGAGCUGUUGUCUCAAAAGUUGGUAACAGUCGGCAAACUAUCUG